GUCCCCUUCGGUUAGAGGCCCAGGACCCCGCCCUUUCACGGCGGUAACAGGGGUUCGAAUCCCCUAGGGGACGCCA
RNAcentral lists this transfer RNA (76 nucleotides) under Shigella sonnei. RNAcentral's name for it is "tRNA-Glu". It matches the Rfam family "tRNA". Rfam says of the family: Transfer RNA (tRNA) molecules are approximately 80 nucleotides in length. Their secondary structure includes four short double-helical elements and three loops (D, anti-codon, and T loops). Lineage: Bacteria; Pseudomonadati; Pseudomonadota; Gammaproteobacteria; Enterobacterales; Enterobacteriaceae. The record is from RNAcentral.